Cyprinus carpio carpio is the source of this 778-nucleotide long non-coding RNA. NCBI's taxonomy places the organism in Eukaryota, Metazoa, Chordata, Actinopteri, Cypriniformes, Cyprinidae. The record is from Ensembl.
GUUAUUUUCUCCUGCAGUGUCUAAUUCAAGGACGGUGGGAAGAAGUUCUCAAGGCCAGCAAGAGAGUGAGUGUGUGUCCCAAACAGGCUAAUCAGAGCGGCAUCCUCUCAGAGGAAACUGCACACACACACACACACUCAUGGCCUCCAGAGACUCUGCUGCUCUUUUUGCCCACACUGCAUCUACUGCAAACAAAUCAGGACCAUAAUGCCGUGUGACACUCGCUCCCUGCAGUCCUGCCUGUGGCCCGGAGACAGGAACGCCGCUCCAGUGAUUGACAAGGACAAAAAGAGGUGUGAUCCCAUUUAUGUUUCUGAAUCGUCAACCACAGCGAUGGGAGACGGGAAUGACAGCUGGGACUGUAACUUUGAGCGUGAGAGUUGCAAACGAUUUGCCCUUACCUCUGAGAUCCGGAUCUGUGACGAAAAGACGUGGAAUCCUCCCCGGCCCCGGCAACUGCUCAGCUGAGUCCGGGCUGCUUGAAGCUCAUAGGAACGUUCAGUUCAGAAUAAUAUGUUACUCAUAAAUAAGUUAAUCAGAGGCUCUUCUUUUAAUAAAGUUUUUCGCAUUACCAUUUGUCAUGGCUUCGCUUUAUUAAUAGACAAUAACUCAUAAGUAACAAAAAUGAAAAUAACAGCGAAUAAUUCUUCACCAUUGAAGUGCGGCCCCGCACACAGAUUUUCUCUACCUUUUAUAGCCUUGCAUAUCAUUUGCAUUUCUUCCCUGCCUUCUCCCUUAUUUGGUAAUCAUGUGUAUUUAUACACAAACCGAGUACAUG